This 763-nucleotide ribosomal RNA is filed under the name uncultured bacterium. Its description in RNAcentral is "bacterial SSU rRNA". The stretch from base 1 to 606 matches the Rfam family "Bacterial small subunit ribosomal RNA", at positions 852 to 1533 of the family's 1533-position model. The record is from RNAcentral.
UUAACGCAAUAAGUAAUCCGCCUGGGGAGUAUGCACGCAAGUGUGAAACUCAAAGGAAUUGACGGGGGCCCGCACAAGCGGUGGAGUAUGUGGUUUAAUUCGAAGCAACGCGAAGAACCUUACCAAGUCUUGACAUACCGCGCAAAGCGCUGGAGACAGUGAAAUAGUUAUGGCGGAUACAGGUGGUGCAUGGUUGUCGUCAGCUCGUGUCGUGAGAUGUUGGGUUAAGUCCCGCAACGAGCGCAACCCUUAUCUUUAGUUACCAUCAUUCAGUUGGGGACUCUAGAGAGACUGCCGGUGACAAACCGGAGGAAGGUGGGGAUGACGUCAAAUCAUCAUGCCCCUUAUGACUUGGGCUACACACGUACUACAAUGGCGUAUACAGAGAGAAGCGAAGUGGCGACAUGGAGCAAACCUCACAAAGUACGUCUCAGUUCAGAUUGAAGUCUGCAACUCGACUUCAUGAAGGCGGAAUCCUAGUCAAUGGGGAUCAGCAUGCCGCGGUGAAUACGUUCUCGGGCCUGUACACACGCUGACCGAGCAACGCCGCGUGAGUGAAGAAGGCCUUCGGGUUGUAAAGCUCUGUUGUAAGGGAAGACUGACCAAAGUAGGGAUUGAUCUUGGAGUGACGGUACCUUACCGGAAAGCCACGGCUAACUACGUGCCAGCAGCCGCGGUAAUACGUAGGUGGCAAGCGUUAUCCGGAAUUAUUGGGCGUAAAGGGUGCGUAGGCGGUUUGAUAAGUCUGAGGUGAAAGUUCGGC